RNAcentral lists this ribosomal RNA (552 nucleotides) under uncultured archaeon. Its description in RNAcentral is "bacterial SSU rRNA". It matches the Rfam family "Archaeal small subunit ribosomal RNA", at positions 326 to 879 of the family's 1478-position model. The record is from RNAcentral.
CUGGGUGCAGCAGGCGCGAAAACUUUGCAAUACACGAAAGUGUGACAGGGUCAUCCCGAGUGCCGACCGCUGAGGUUGGCUUUUACCCUGUCCAGAAAGCUGGGGGAAUAAGGAGAGGGCAAGUCUGGUGUCAGCCGCCGCGGUAAUACUCAGCUCUCCGAGUGGUGUGGAUGUUUAUUGGGCCUAAAGCAUCCGUAGCUGGCUGAACAAGUCCCCUGUUAAUCCCACCGAGUUUAUCGUUGGUCUGCGGGGGAUACUGCUUGGCUAGGGGAUGAGAGAGGCUGGAGGUAUUCUCGGUGUAGGGGUGAAAUCCUAUAAUCCCGGGAAGACCUCCAGUGGCGAAGGUUGCCUGGUAGAGCGCGCCCGACGGUGAGGGAUGAAAGCUGGGGGAGCGAACCGGAUUAGAUACCCGGGUAGUCCCAGCUGUUAACGAUGCAGACUAGGUGUUUGGACGGCCACGUGCCGUUCUAGUGCCGCAGGGAAGCCGUUAAGUCUGCCGCCUCGGGAGUACGAUCGCAAGCUUGAAACUUAAAGGAAUUGGCGGGCGAGCAC